UACAGAGGGUGCGAGCGUUAAUCGGAAUUACUGGGCGUAAAGCGCACGUAGGUGGCGACGUAAGUCGGGGGUGAAAGCCACGGGCUCAACCUGGGAAUUGCAUUCGAUACUGCAUUGCUGGAGUACGGAAGAGGAGGGCGGAAUUCCCGGUGUAGCGGUGAAAUGCGUAGAUAUCGGGAGGAACAUCAGUGGCGAACGCGGCCCUCUGGUCCAGUACUGACACUCAAGUGCGAAAGCGUGGGGAGCAAACAGG
RNAcentral lists this ribosomal RNA (253 nucleotides) under uncultured bacterium. Its description in RNAcentral is "partial 16S ribosomal RNA". It matches the Rfam family "Bacterial small subunit ribosomal RNA", at positions 524 to 776 of the family's 1533-position model. The record is from RNAcentral.